RNAcentral lists this long non-coding RNA (1197 nucleotides) under Oryctolagus cuniculus (rabbit). RNAcentral's name for it is "lncRNA (ENSOCUG00000036831.1)". The record is from RNAcentral. Lineage: Eukaryota; Metazoa; Chordata; Mammalia; Lagomorpha; Leporidae.
ACACCCAGGGAGCUUCCCCUGUGCACCACGCCCCUGCGCACCCAGCAGUGCCUCCAGGGGUCCCCACCAGGGCCUCCCAGCGCUGGGAAAGGAGGCUUGGUGCCUGCUGCACGUCCUGGGGCUGCCAGACGGGUCUCAGGCCUGGUUCUCACUACAGCCUCUCUCUUCCUGUCCGUCCCUCCUGUCCGUCCCUCCUGUCUGUCCCUCCUGUCCAUCUCUCCUCCUGUCCGUCCCUCCUGUCUGUCCCUCCUGUCCGUCCCUCCUGUCCGUCCCUCCUGUCUGUCCCUCCUGUCCGUCCCUCCUGUCUGUCCCUCCUGUCCAUCCCUCCUGUCCGUCCCUCCUGUCUGUCUCUCCUCCUGUCCGUCCCUCCUGUCUGUCUCUCCUCCUGUCUGUCCCUCCUGUCCGUCCCUCCUGUCCAUCCCUCCUGUCUGUCUCUUUGUCUGUCUCUCCAUCCCUGUCUCUCCCUUUGUCCAGGGGUUUGCUUUGUUACCCUCUUGGUUCCCCCCACCCCCAACUGUUGCCCCCCCGGCUGUCUUGGGAACAUUCUGGAACAGCUCCCCAUGGAGGGUCCCAGGACGGUGUGAGCUGGGUCUCAGACCCUCCCUCUCAAGUCCUCUGCAGCCUGAUCCUUCGUGCCUGCCCAGAGGGGGCCCUGCCAGCCCUGGUGGGCAGCUGGGAGGGAGCCAAGGCUCACCCAGCAGGGCCCCACAGGGCAGGCACAGGGGCUGGGGCGGGACACCGGAAGGAGCUGUGCCGACUACGCUCGUGGGACCUGGACUGAGGCUCUGCAGCUCAGCCUCAGUUUCUCCAUCUGUGAAAUGGGCUCUGUCAGCCCAGCCUCAGAGGGAUCAGGGCCUCUGCUGUCCUCCACUGCCCGGCUCAGCCUCCUCUCCCAAGCCCCGUUCUCCGUCUCCUUGGGUGCAGGCCCAUCGGGCCGUCACCUGUGAUUGCCACUGGUGCCCCCAGACUCCUGGCUAUGGUUGUUGGGAACGCCCCAGGCUGGGGGAGGGUGGGGGCGGAGCCACCAGUGAUGGAGCCCCACCCCGGGGAGCCCCGAGCGCCCUGCCCUGGGCCCCCGCCCUCUGUCAUCCUCGGGUGACACGCGGGGAACGGUGCACUCUGACUGUGUCCAGCCUGGACCUGCGUGGAACCGGAACUGGCCGGCGCUCGGCCUGCACCCUCACUUCCACCCCCUGA